Molecule: non-coding RNA, 208 nt
Organism: Paramuricea clavata
Lineage: Eukaryota; Metazoa; Cnidaria; Anthozoa; Malacalcyonacea; Plexauridae
Source: the annotation of a GenBank genome assembly
CGAGUGUUCACCAACAUUGUACCAGGGAAAGGGGGAUGGAUUUUCGGAGGAUAUUUUAGGGAUAUAGUGCAAAACUCUUCGUAUUUAAUGUUUUUGUCCGACUGAUUUUGUCCACGAUUGUGGUUUGUUUUUUUCUGUUAGUGCCAACUGUGCUUAUCAAGUUAUCAUAGGAAACUCAUGUUCAUUGUUCAUCUGUGCUAAUUAUUAC